This 2778-nucleotide long non-coding RNA is filed under the name Olea europaea subsp. europaea. The record is from RNAcentral. Lineage: Eukaryota; Viridiplantae; Streptophyta; Magnoliopsida; Lamiales; Oleaceae.
CCGGUCUCUGUCUAAGCUUGAAACCCUAAAGGCUCCCUCUUCUUCUUCGUCUUCGGCUGUCUCUACGCUUGCUCCUCCAUCCGCCUGAAUAGUCGCCGUUGGGGUUAAUCGCUAGUUUUUGGUCAUGUCUUGCCUACAACUCUUUCCAUUUCUCCGCAUUGGCUCUUUAUUUGGUCAGAUUUUCAUCGAUUCGACUUUGAAAUUGUUCUUUAUUUCUUUUCUUGAUUCAUUUCGAUCUUUUAUAACUCUUAGCAAUUUUUUUGGAAUUAAAAAGAAUGGUCUCCAUCUCUACAAGAACUAUUUUCUGUCUUUAGUUUUGUGACAUCCCUAAAUUUUGAUAUCUCAGUUGUUUAUCAAUCGCAGGGAGCUUGUGCCUUGUAGAUGUAGAGAAGUCCCGCAAGCCGGUUGCCUCUUCUGACAUGCCUGCUCUUCCUGGUACUUUCAUUUCCUUUGUGAGUGUGUAUAAAUGGAAAUGUUUGACAUUUGUGGAAACAUUUAUUUGGAUUUUCAUUUUGUAUUAGAGGAAAUAUUUAACGGGCCAUCGAUUUUAGUGUUGAAAUUUGAAGAUUUUGGCUACUGCAAAUGUCUGAUUUUGGCUUGGUUAGUGAUGUUGGAUAUAGAUUCUUUUGUUUAUUUAAGUGGUUGGAAUUACAGUUUCAUUGAAAUGUGAAGUUUAAAAUUUGUUUAGGGGUUUAAUUAUAUAUAUGCUGGAUCACUAACUACAUAAUCAAAUGCUUUAAUAUUUCAAAACAAAUGACCACUGGCCUUUAAAUUGUCAUUGAUCAAGAUGAGUUCCCUGAUCUAUUAUUCUUCCCUUUGUACAUAAGCAGCAAUGCAAUCUCCCCACUUAACUAGUUUGUGAUUGAUUAUUGAUUGUAUUCCUUUCAGUAACCUUAUGAAUUUUUCUGCCUUACUUAGAAGAAAAAAGUGUAUACUCUUUGAUAAAUUAAAUGCUAAUCUCUCAACACUGAAGUUGGUAGAGAGCAACUUAGGAUAAUGAAAAAAAAUUGCAGGUAGCAAUGAUUAUUGAGGUGUAUAGAUGUCUUGCAUGCAAAUAUGUUGCCAGGCGAGAUGUUGACUAAUAUGUUUCUCAAGGAAAGCAGUUCACUAAACUGGGUUUUAGAUCAGGUAGCUUGAUAAAAGGAGUGUGGGGAAACAUGAGCAGAUCUUAUGUAUUUUUUUGCAUUAAUGGCAUCAAUUUGUAAUUUUCACUUUCAACCAUCUUCUGAGAUGGGGAGCUUGAGGUCUGGACUAAUACAACAAUUGUUCAUAUUGAAAUCCUAAACAUAUGCACAUGAAAUUUACUGUUAUCUGUGCAUCUUUCAUCCCUUCCAGAAGGUCAUUUAAAGAAGUUUGUUUGAUGAAAUUGGGGAUUGUAAAAGAUUAAUGCAGCUGAAUAUGCUAUUGAGAAUAAUCAAUAUUCUAUGUACUUCGGCUUUUACAAAUUUAACUUGGUAACAUUGAUAUAGUUUUGUGCAUAUUUAUACAUCUAUUCCAAUGCUCACAUUCAUUAUUUGUAUAUUGUCUAUGAAAUUUUCUUUGUGUUUGUGUGGUUUUGUGAAAUUUUCAAGUUUUGUGUUUGUGAAAUAUUUGAGUUUGUUGUUCAGAUAAGGAGCUCAUAUUUUGUUACAUGUGACUAAAGUGUUUCGUAUUCAGAAGGUAAACGUUCACGUAUAUACGCACAUAAAUACAUAUAAUCUCUAUAUUUAAAUGGCAUUUGAUAUUAUUUAGUUGAGAUGAUUGAAUAUUUCAAGAUAUUUUAUUUAUUUUAUUUUUAAAUUAUGUGGAGUGCCAAAAUUGGAGUCUUAUAAUUGCUAGCAAAAAAAUUAAUAUGCAUGAAUAUAUGAAUUGUUUUGGUUUGAUUUUAAUAUAUUUAUCUAAUUAGAAACUACUAUUGAUCGAGCACAAGAAUAGUAGGUAAUCUUUCUACACGGAUUUUAGAAAAUACAUGAAUAGUAAAGUAUGGUGAAUAUAUAUAGAUGAAAAGUCUGUGAAAUAUGACACUUGUUAUUUUUAAAAAUAUAUCCAACAAUAUUCUUAAUUAUUUGAUUUUUUUAUAAUUUGAUUUUUCAUUUUCCUAUAAAUAUUAAGAAAUCAACCUACUUUAAUAAUAUUUUAUGACAUUUAAUCCACGAUAUCUCAUUUUCAGCACUACCUAUUAAUUUCAUAAACAUUUUGUGUAAUUUCUCAUUAUUUUUAUUAUUUAUUGAAUUCGGUUUAUAAUUGUAAAUUUGUUGUGGUAUAUUUAUUUAAAAACGUGUUUUAAUUGUGGUGUGGACAUAAUGUGGCGUCACUAGCAAAUUUUGUGAUUGUAAUAUAAUUGUUCAAAACAAAAUAGUUUCAAAUAUGUAGAAUUUAUAACAUAAAUGUAUGCAAAAUACUUGAGCCUACAAAUUUCACUUCUUCUAUAGCCCGUCUUGUAGCAUCAAAUCCAAAAAAUGAAAAAAAAAUGAGUAGCUGCUAUUCUUCAAAGAAGUUAGAAAUGUGAUAGUAUCUAGAAUAAUUUGUUCUAGCACCAGUCUAUAUAGUACUAUAUGAUAAGUUCAAUUAAAGGUAAGAUCAUAUGAUUUAUUUAAAUGUACCUUUCAUUUAAUGGCACUUAGUGUGUAUACAAAUAUAUGUAUGUUAGUAUAUAAUUAUAAUCGUCAAUCUCAAUAUAAUCUAAUCAAUUACGAGAUAUGGAGAUUUGUCAAUUUCAAUUAAUUAGUCAUAUCUUUUAUCUCAUUCUUCAAUUUAAGGGAAUGAAAUGUAAAUCAUAAGAUAAUUAUUCUAUCAGCG